UAUCUCUGUAGAGUCUGCAUAUCAAUAAGCGGAGGAAAAGAAACUAACUAGGAUUCCCUCAGUAACGGCGAGUGAAGCGGGAAGAGCUCAAAUUUGAAAUCUUCAAGGUUUUACCUUGACGAAUUGUAGUUUAAAGAAGUGUUUUCUGUUGGAAUUUUGGUAAAAGUUCUUUGGAAAAAGACAUCAAAGAGGGUGAGAAUCCCGUAUUUGACCAUUAUUUCCAGCUUUGUGAUACACUUUCAAAGAGUCGGAUUGUUUGGGAAUGCAGUCCAAAAUGGGUGGUAAAUUUCAUCUAAAGCUAAAUACUGGCGAGAGACCGAUAGCGAACAAGUACCGUGAGGGAAAGAUGAAAAGAACUUUGAAAAGAGAGUUAAACAGUACGUGAAAUUGUCAAAAGGGAAGCGUUUGACACCAGUGUUGUUUUCUCGAAAAUCAAUUAAAAAAGAUUGGAUUUUGUGUUGUAUUGACUUUAUCAGCUUUCUGCACUUUUUUCUUGUCUUUUUUAAUGCACUUUUCGUUUAACAAGUCAACAUCAAUUUCUUUUGUUGUAAGAGGGUCAUUGGAAGGUGGCUUUCUUUUCGGAGAAAGUGUUUAUAGCCUUUGGCUUCUGCAAUCGGAGAGAUUGAGGUCCGCAGCGUAGAUCCUUCGGGGUUAGAUACAUUUGUGCUAAGUUAUAGCCUUUCAUAGACAACUUGUUGACUAUGAUCAGUCAUGUAGCUUACUCGCUUAUGCUAUUUUACCUACGCUUAGGAUGUUGAUGUGAUACUGCGAGCA
RNAcentral lists this ribosomal RNA (774 nucleotides) under uncultured Neocallimastigales. Its description in RNAcentral is "partial large subunit ribosomal RNA". It matches the Rfam family "Eukaryotic large subunit ribosomal RNA", at positions 24 to 627 of the family's 3401-position model. Lineage: Eukaryota; Fungi; Neocallimastigomycota; Neocallimastigomycetes; Neocallimastigales. The record is from RNAcentral.